Molecule: long non-coding RNA, 645 nt
Organism: Mus musculus (house mouse)
Lineage: Eukaryota; Metazoa; Chordata; Mammalia; Rodentia; Muridae
Product: predicted gene, 36571
Exons: 3
Source: RefSeq, a predicted model, not a curated record
GGCAGGCUGGAGCUGAAGCCAUUCUAACCUGCAGGCAGUGACUGACUAUUUGUGAAGCUUGCUGGUAAAGGAAACUGAGGCAUCAGGACCCCGAGGCUGUGUACUUCCUGGUGGCGCAUGCGCUCUGCAUAGUGAGAAAUAGAUGCCCCGGGAACUUGGAGAACACUCCAUGAAUGUGUACAGUGUGACACCUCCUGGCUCAGGGCAGUGAUCUAAAAGCAGAGUCAUUCAAGGACAGGUCGUGAACAGCAUGGCAGCCAGCACUUCAUCCACUAAGCCAUCUGCUGAUCCUUUCUACUUGCCAGAGUUUGAAGGUGUGAGUGUUUGCCGGCAUAUGUGUAUGUGCUGCAGGCCAGAGAAUGUCAGCAGAGGGUGUGGGUGGUGAGAACUAAGCACUCACCUCUGGAAGAGAGAGAGCAUCGGGUGCUUUUAACCUCCAGGCCACCUCUCCAGUCCCCAGCUGACAACUGUUUUACUUUGGUGAGAUGUCUUCUUAGAUCCUUUGCUAAUUUUAAAAUUGGAUUCUAUUCUUGAGUUUUAGGAAUUCUUUCUUUUGGGAGGGUGUUGGGGGUCUUAUGUACCCCAAGGUGGCCACUAACUCGCUAUAUGACAGGGAUGUCCUUGAACUUCUGAUGCUCCGGGGUG